Molecule: ribosomal RNA, 482 nt
Filed under: uncultured Acidobacteriota bacterium
Lineage: Bacteria; Pseudomonadati; Acidobacteriota
Description: bacterial SSU rRNA
Rfam family: Bacterial small subunit ribosomal RNA
Source: RNAcentral
UUGAUCCUGGCUCAGAAUCAACGCUGGCGGCGCGCUUAACACAUGCAAGUCGCACGAGAAAGCAGGAGCAAUCUUGUGAGUAAAGUGGCGUACGGGUGAUUAACACGUGGAUCAUCUACCUUCUAGUGGGGAAUACCUCUGGGAAACCGUAGAUAAUUCCGCAUAAGCUCGUGAGAGGAAAGCCGAAAGGCGCUGGAAGUGGAGUCCGCGGCUGAUUAGCUAGAUGGCGGGGUAACGGCCCACCAUGGCUAAGAUCGGUAGCCGGCCUGAGAGGGCACACGGCCACACUGGCACUGAAAUACGGGCCAGACUCCUACGGGAGGCAGCAGUGGGGAAUCUUGCACAAUGGUGGCAACUCUGAUGCAGCGACGCCGCGUGAGCGAUGAAGCCCUUCGGGGUUUAAAGCUCUUUCGACGGGAAAGAUUAUGACGGUACCCGGAGAAGAAGCUUCGGCUAACUACGUGCCAGCAGCCGCGGUAAUU